RNAcentral lists this ribosomal RNA (399 nucleotides) under uncultured bacterium. RNAcentral describes it as "bacterial SSU rRNA". It matches the Rfam family "Bacterial small subunit ribosomal RNA", at positions 362 to 776 of the family's 1533-position model. The record is from RNAcentral.
UAUUGCACAAUGGGGGGAACCCUGAUGCAGCGACGCCGCGUGAGGGAAGACGGUUUUCGGAUUGUAAACCUCUGUCUUUAGGGACGAAACAAAUGACGGUACCUAAAGAGGAAGCCACGGCUGACUAAGUGCCAGCAGCCGCGGUAAUACGUAGGUUGCAAGCGUUGUCCGGAAUUACUGGGUGUAAAGGGAGCGUAGGCGGGAAUGCAAGUUGAAUGUUUAAACUAUGGGCUCAACCGAUAGUCGCGUUCAAAACUGCAUUUCUUGAGUGGAGUAGAGGCAGGCGGAAUUCCUAGUGUAGCGGUGAAAUGCGUAGAUAUUAGGAGGAACACCAGUGGCGAAGGCGGCUUACUGGACUGUAUCUGACGUUGAGGCUCGAAAGCGUGGGGAGCAAACAGG